ACUCAAAUGAAUUGACGGGGGCUCACACAAGCGGUGGAGCAUGUGGCUUAAUUCGAGGCUACGCGAAGAACCUUACCCAGACUUAACGUGUUCGAAAGAGACAGCAGGUAGGACCCGGAAACGGGAACGAACGGUAUCCAAUCCGGAAGCUGUCAUAGGUGUUGCAUGGCUGUCGUCAGCUCGUGUCGUGAGAUGUCGGGUUAAGUCCCAUAACGAGCGAAACCCUUGCCCUUAGUUGCUACCCACAAGGGCACUCUAGGGGGACUGCCGGUGUCAAACCGGAGGAAGGUGGGGAUGACGUCAAGUCCUCAUGGCCUUUAUGUCUGGGGCUGCACACGUGCUACAAUGGCGUGAACAAAGGGACGCGACCGCGCGAGCGGAAGCCGACCCCAAAAAACACGCCCCAGUUCAGAUCGCAGGCUGCAACUCGCCUGCGUGAAGCCGGAAUCGCUAGUAAUCGCGGGUCAGCAACACCGCGGUGAAUGUGUUCCUGAGCCUUGCACACACCGCCCGU
This 514-nucleotide ribosomal RNA is filed under the name uncultured bacterium. Its description in RNAcentral is "partial 16S ribosomal RNA". It matches the Rfam family "Bacterial small subunit ribosomal RNA", at positions 899 to 1397 of the family's 1533-position model. The record is from RNAcentral.